GCCGGGCGUGGUGGUGUGUGCCUGUAAUCCCAGCUACUCAGGAGGCUGAGGCAGGAGAAUUGCUUGAACCCAGGAGGUGGAGGUUGCAGUGAGCAGAGAUCGCGCCACUGCACUCCAGCCUGGGUGACAGAGCAAGGCUCUGUCUCAA
This is a non-coding RNA of Homo sapiens (human), 148 nucleotides long. It matches the Rfam family "Metazoan signal recognition particle RNA". Rfam says of the family: The signal recognition particle (SRP) is a universally conserved ribonucleoprotein. It is involved in the co-translational targeting of proteins to membranes. The record is from Rfam. Lineage: Eukaryota; Metazoa; Chordata; Mammalia; Primates; Hominidae.